CCUACGGGUGGCUGCAGUGAGGAAUAUUGGUCAAUUGGCGCAAGCCUGAACCAGCCAAGUCGCGUGAGGGAUGACGGUCCUAUGGAUUGUAAACCUCUUUUGUCGGGGAGUAAGGCGCGCCACGUGUGGCGGGAAGUAUAGUACCCGUAGAAAAAGCAUCGGCUAACUCCGUGCCAGCAGCCGCGGUAAUACGGAGGAUGCGAGCGUUAUCCGGAUUUAUUGGGUUUAAAGGGUGCGUAGGCGGAAGGUUAAGUCAGCGGUCAAAUGUCGGUGCUCAACACCGGCCUGCCGUGUAAACUGGUCGUCUUGCGUGAGCGAGAAGUAUGCGGAAUGCGUGGUGUAGCGGUGAAAUGCAUAGAUAUCACGCAGAACUCCGAUUGCGAAGGCAGCAUACCGGCGCGCAACUGACGCUGAGGCACGAAAGCGUGGGGAUCGAACAGGAUUAGAUACCCGAGUAGUC
RNAcentral lists this ribosomal RNA (460 nucleotides) under uncultured bacterium. RNAcentral's name for it is "partial 16S ribosomal RNA". It matches the Rfam family "Bacterial small subunit ribosomal RNA", at positions 338 to 795 of the family's 1533-position model. The record is from RNAcentral.